GCAAGUCGAACGGUAACAGGAAGUAGCUUGCUACUUUGCUGACGAGUGGCGCACGGGUGCGUAACGCGUAUACAAUCUACCUUUUACAGGGGGAUAGCCUUUAGAAAUGAAGAUUAAUACCCCAUGGUAUUAAGAGUAUGCAUAUACUUUUAAUUAAAGCUUCGGCGGUAGAAGAUGAGUAUGCGUUCUAUUAGCUAGAUGGUGUGGUAACGGCACACCAUGGCAACGAUAGAUAGGGGCCCUGAGAGGGGGAUC
RNAcentral lists this ribosomal RNA (255 nucleotides) under uncultured bacterium. Its description in RNAcentral is "partial 16S ribosomal RNA". It matches the Rfam family "Bacterial small subunit ribosomal RNA", at positions 57 to 305 of the family's 1533-position model. The record is from RNAcentral.